GAAUGUUGACUGAUCUACAGAUAUUAUAGCGACCACAUAUUACAGGUUACAUCCUACAAAUUCAAACAAUUUAGCUCAGGCAAAAACAAAUAGAAUAAGCUAACACAGGUGUACCAAUUCAGCUAAAACAGUCUCCUUGACGACUCCUCUACCAUCCAUCUCUACACCACACAUACAUCACCUCAUUGCACAUCUGCACAGAUCCAAAAGGGAAAUAAGGCAUCCCUCAAAGGAAGCAAGUUUCCAAUUCUUAAGAUAAUACAUACACAAAAUAAAAUGAUUUAAUCACACCUGAUGUAUCCCAUAGUGGUUGCUUUGUAAGAUUUAUCGCUGAGAAAUUGAAGGACUGGGAACAGAAUGUAUGACCAGUGGUUGGAUCGAGGGUUUCAUUUUGUGGGAACGGCGAGUGGGGAGAGGGAGGGCAGUCGGCGCCGCGCGUGGGAUUGGAACUAACGGCGACUGGGCGACACACCCCGGCGGAUUCCUGAAUCAAUCUUUGCCAUGGCUGAAGAUGUCCAUUUUUGGGAGAUGAGGGAAGAAACGGCAGGAGGAAG
RNAcentral lists this long non-coding RNA (554 nucleotides) under Triticum aestivum (bread wheat). Its description in RNAcentral is "long non-coding RNA (TAES_LNC024425)". The record is from RNAcentral. Lineage: Eukaryota; Viridiplantae; Streptophyta; Magnoliopsida; Poales; Poaceae.